RNAcentral lists this non-coding RNA (110 nucleotides) under bovine gut metagenome. RNAcentral describes it as "THF riboswitch". It matches the Rfam family "THF (Tetrahydrofolate) riboswitch aptamer". From Rfam's summary of the family: THF riboswitch presents a pseudoknot that joins P1-P2 and the loop of P3 and two THF binding. The record is from RNAcentral.
CAGAGUAGAGGUUUGAGCGUUGCUUUUUAAGCUGAGUGCUUGGCAGACGGGGAGUUGCUGCCUGGACGAAUGGAUUUUUAUUCCUGCGGUUUGAACCUUGCAUCCCGCUG